RNAcentral lists this ribosomal RNA (460 nucleotides) under uncultured bacterium. RNAcentral's name for it is "partial 16S ribosomal RNA". It matches the Rfam family "Bacterial small subunit ribosomal RNA", at positions 29 to 523 of the family's 1533-position model. The record is from RNAcentral.
AACGAACGCUGGAGGCAUGCCUUAUACAUGCAAGUCGAACGCGAAAGUACCUUCGGGUAUCAGUAGAGUGGCAAACGGGUGAGUAACGCGUGGGAAUAUACCUUAUAGUACGGAAUAGCCUCGGGAAACUGGGAUUAAUACCGUAUACGCCCUUAGGGGGAAAGAUUUAUCGCUAUAAGAUUAGCCCGCGUCAGAUUAGCUAGUUGGUGGGGUAACGGCCUACCAAGGCAACGAUCUGUAGCUGGUCUGAGAGGAUGACCAGCCACAUUGGGACUGAGAUACGGACCAAACUCCUACGGGAGGCAGCAGUAGGGAAUAUUGGACAAUGGGGGAAACCCUGAUCCAGCAAUGCCUCGUGAGUGAUGAAGGCCUUAGGGUUGUAAAGCUCUUUUAGUAGGGAAGAUAAUGACGGUACCCACAGAAAAAGCACCGGCUAACUCCGUGCCAGCAGCCGCAGUAA